Molecule: ribosomal RNA, 774 nt
Filed under: uncultured Neocallimastigales
Lineage: Eukaryota; Fungi; Neocallimastigomycota; Neocallimastigomycetes; Neocallimastigales
Description: partial large subunit ribosomal RNA
Rfam family: Eukaryotic large subunit ribosomal RNA
Source: RNAcentral
CGCAUCUGUGCAUGCAGCAUAUCAAUAAGCGGAGGAAAAGAAACUAACAAGGAUUCCCCUAGUAACGGCGAGUGAAGCGGGAAGAGCUCAAAUUUGAAAUCUUAAAGGGUUUCCCUUUACGAAUUGUAGUUUAAAGAAGUGUUUUCUGUUGAGGUUUCGGUAAAAGUUCUUUGGAAUAGGACAUCAUAGAGGGUGAGAAUCCCGUAUUUGACCUUUACUUUCAACUUUGUGAUACACUUUCAAAGAGUCGGAUUGUUUGGGAAUGCAGUCCAAAAUGGGUGGUAAAUUUCAUCUAAAGCUAAAUAUUGGCGAGAGACCGAUAGCGAACAAGUACCGUGAGGGAAAGAUGAAAAGAACUUUGAAAAGAGAGUUAAACAGUACGUGAAAUUGUCAAAAGGGAAGCGUUUGACACCAGUGUUGUUUUUCUGAAAAUCAAUUAAAGAACUGUUUAUGCUAAGUUGUUUAGACUUUAUCAGCUAACUGUUUAGUUUUGAGCUUUUCUUUAAUGCACUUUUCAGUUAACAAGUCAACAUCAAUUUCUUUUGCUGUAAAAAAGCUUGAGGAAGGUGGCUUGAGAUUCGUCUUAAGUGUUUAUAGCCUCUUGCCUAUACAGUCGGAGAGAUUGAGGUCUGCAGCGUAGAUCCUUCGGGGCUAAAUGCAUUUGUGCUAAGUUAUAACAUUUUAUAGACAACUUGUUGACUAUGAUUUGUCUUGUAGCUUACUCGCUUAUGUUAUUUUACCUACGCUUAGGAUGUUGAGCGCAUGUCUCUCUCU